AUAAUACAAGACAGAACAUGCCAAUAAGAACAUAAAUACAUUGCUCAUAAUCAUUACUCAUAGAUGGCUAAAUAUAGACCAUUGUUCAGUCGUUCCACAGUGUAUAAAAGCUAUUUGUGUAAAAGAACAUAAAUUACAUUGAUAAUGGACGAAGUCAUUAGUCAAAGUAAUGAUGCAUACGGUCUUGGAAGUAAAGUGGAGGAUGAAAAUGUUUAUGAACCUGUACCAACCCGUGGCAACACCCUCCCUCAGGAAGAAGUCAACUCAGCAGCGGUCAAAGAGAGGAAGUUGCGAGUAAAUUGCUAUGCUAUUGUCACCAUCAUUGCUCUAGUGAUGUCUGUCCUUUCUCUGAUAGUGGCUUUGGUAGCAGUGAGUUAUGCUACAAUAGAGUUAAACAACCAGCAAGGUCAACUGGGCAGUUCUAGUCUGGAAAUGGAAUCCCAGAUCAACCAAAUUCGAUUAUCAAAUGAUCAGUGUAAGAUUCAGAUAUCUGAUUUGCAUACUCAUCUGAACAACUCAAAUCAAAUGUUAAACGACUCAAACCAACAGAUUCAAAUUAUCUUCCAAGAUGUUCGAGAAAUUAUAGCAACUGUUUCAGUUAGCUCCUGCAGUGACAUCCCUCAAUACAAACCAUCUGGAGAAUACUGGAUUGCGACUAACGCUACUAGCUCUCCUGUUCAGGUCUACUGUGACAUGGACCGAACAAGUUGUAGCUGCAGCACUACAGGAGGAUGGAUGAGGGUAGCCAACCUCGACAUGACUGACCGUAACCAAAAUUGCCCCGAUGGAUUCAGACUGGUGAACAGGACAACACCACCACUGCGUAUUUGUGGUAGACCUGGACCAACAGGAUGUGUGUCUACUACCUAUCCAACUCAUGGGGUGGAGCACUCUCGAGUUUGUGGGAGAGUGAUUGGUUACCAAGACAAAACUACAGAUGGUUUUGCACCUUAUUACUUCAACAGAACUGUAACUAUUGAUGAUGUUUAUGUUGCUGGUGUGAGCCUAACCCAUGGACAGUUGCCUCGUCAGCACAUCUGGACAUUUGCUAAUGCAAUCAAUGAAGUAAGUUCGAAUCGCUGGGUAUGUCCCUGCACAAGACCUGACCUGGCCUACACUGGAGCUGUACCACCCUUCAUCGGUCAGGACUACUUCUGUGAAACUGCAAGCCGACAGCUCCUGUCAUUGGACAAUGCCUUUAUCUUCUUUCCCGAUGAUCCAGUUUGGGACGGUCAGGGAUGUGAAGGUACCAGCACUUGCUGCGAGUUCAAUAAUCCACCAUGGUUCUGCAAGCAACUCCCUCAGCCGACUACAGACGAUAUUGAGUUGAGGCUCUGUGGUGAUGAAGACACUGAAAAUGAAGACACACCUCUAGAGCUAGUGGAGAUCUACAUUCGCUGAUAUAUACAUACAACUUCAGUAACAAUUCACUGCAAAAACACUUUUGUUAUUGUGACACAGUUUGCUACCGGCACAAAAUGUUAUCUUGACAAAACGUUUGUCAAUUUCCUGCAAUUAUUGUUAUAACGACAAAUCAUAGUUUAUUUAACUAUUAAUAUAGUUUAUCUAACUAUUAAUAUUUGUUAUUAUAAUGGUAGAUUGCUAUUUGAACACAUGUGUUGUCAUUUUGUCGAAGCGUUGUUGAUCUCACAUUUAGUGGAAGUUACCGUUCAUUGUCAAAUUAACAUUAAUGUGUGACAACAACAAAUUAUAAAGUUACAGCUAGAACUCUACUAAAAGAUACGUGCAAGUUUGCAUCACUGAUUUCAACCUACUCAACCUAUACUCGAUUACCCUAGCUCGUAAUAAAUUGUCUAUACUGAAACAUCUCAGUUGCCCUGAUGCUUAAAUCUUUGCAUGCUCAUGUUCAAUUGUGUAUGUAGCAAUUGGAGACUUGUGACUGGGCAUGGUAAGUUACAGUGGCAGUGAAGAAGUCAGGAGCCUCCAGAGUCCUUCAGUGCAGUGCAAUGCAGGCAGCCUUCUCUCUAUAGCCCCCUUCACAAGGCCUGGCCUGAAGAGCGGCCUGGGAUCGAGCUUCUCUCUAGCCUCUAACUCUAGCUAGUCUCGAGGCCAGGAGAGUUUGGCCUCGAGACUAUAAUUAUAAGCUGGAACUAUAGGUGUGGCAUGAGGGGGCGUUCAGGAAUAACAGGGCGGGGCCUCAAACAUACUUAGCACAUGGUACUUGCAGCUGCACCAGACUGCAGCUGCUCAUGCAGCUUUAUACCAUCACUGACUGCAUGCCUGUACCCCUGGCCCUGGGCUACCAUGUUCCAUGUACACCAGCUAGGAUCUAGGAGUCAAGAGUCACCUGCAUCUGCAGCUUGAAAAAAAAGACAAUUGCAAAUUUUCUUAAAGAGUAGAUAGUACCACCAUCUCAAAGAAAAAAGUUAAGUUCCAUUGCAUGCUGUUGGCGCAUGGCAUGUACAUGAUCCCAAAACUCUCUGAAUUCACAGUUUACAAAUCACUGCUAUACCGUAUCGGCGUAUAACUCCACCAUGUACCAGCUUCAAAGAAAAAGGAUUUAAGUUAUGUUGGUCAUUGCUAAAUAAAUGUGUUUACGUGUUUCUUCCAGCUGCAGAUUUUACCAUACCUCGGCCCCACAAUGUGUACCAGCUAGGAGUCUACUUAACCACCUUCAUCGACUUCAAAGAAACGACUUGCAAGUUAUGUCAGAUUCCAUAAAACUAUAUAGCUAGCUAGAGGGAAACUGCCCCUGGCCUGGUUUCGACCUUCAUCUGUAGCAUACUGAUUUACGAGUUUGUGUCUUCAUGUGUCAGUUACACUGGUUUCGACUGGUCAACUUCGUCCAUGGGGUGAUAGCUAGUAUACUGAUUUACUAGUUUGUGUGUAUGUGUCCUCAUGUGUCAGUUACACUGGUUUCGACUGGUCAACUUCGUCCAUGGGGUGAUAGCUAGCAUACUGAUUUAUGAGUUUGUGUGUAUGUGUCCUCACGUGUCAGUUACACUGGUUUCGACUGGUCAACUUCGUCCAUGGGGUGAUAGCUAGCAUUGUAAUUUACCAGUUUGUGUGUAUGUGUCCUCAUGCGUCAGUUACACUGGUUUCGACUGGUCAACUUCGUCCAUGGGGUGAUAGCUAGCAUUGUAAUUUACCAGUUUGUGUGUAUGUGUCCUCAUGUGUCAGUUACACUGGUUUCGACUGGUCAACUUCGUCCAUGGGGUGAUAGCUAGUAUACUGAUUUACUAGUUCGUGUGUAUGUGUCCUCAUGUGUCAGUUACACUGGUUUCGACUGGUCAACUUCGUCCAUGGGGUGAUAGCUAGCAUACUGAUUUAUGAGUUUGUGUGUAUGUGUCCUCACGUGUCAGUUACACUGGUUUCGACUGGUCAACUUCGUCCAUGGGGUGAUAGCUAGCAUUGUAAUUUACCAGUUUGUGUGUAUGUGUCCUCAUGCGUCAGUUACACUGGUUUCGACUGGUCAACUUCGUCCAUGGGGUGAUAGCUAGCAUUGUAAUUUACCAGUUUGUGUGUAUGUGUCCUCAUGUGUCAGUUACACUGGUUUCGACUGGUCAACUUCGUCCAUGGGGUGAUAGCUAGCAUUGUAAUUUACCAGUUUGUGUGUAUGUGUCCUCACGCGUCAGUUACACUGGUUUCGACUGGUCAACUUCGUCCAUGGGGUGAUAGCUAGCAUUGUAAUUUACUAGUUUGUGUGUAUGUGUCCUCACGUGUCAGUUACACUGGUUUCGACUGGUCAACUUCGUCCAUGGGGUGAUAGCUAGCAUACUGAUUUACGAGUUUGUGUGUAUGUGUCCUCACGUGUCAGUUACACUGGUUUCGACUGGUCAACUUCGUCCAUGGGGUGAUAGCUAGCAUACUGAUUUACGAGUUUGUGUGUAUGUGUCCUCAUGUGUCAGUUACACUGGUUUCGACUGGUCAACUUCGUCCAUGGGGUGAUAGCUAGCAUACUGAUUUACGAGUUUGUGUGUAUGUGUCCUCAUGUGUCAGUUACACUGGUCAACUUCGUCUAUGGGGGUGAUAGCUUAUACUAUUUACAUUUUGCACUACAUAUGUGUUGGUAACUAUAGUGACUUCAAUCUUUUGUUCUGUAGGGGCUUAUUGUGACGAAAAUGAUGUGAGGGAUGUAGCGUUCAUGAAACCAAACGAAACGCCUGCAGUUCACUGUACUGGAAUUUCAAGAAACGCUAAGUGAUGAACACUAAAAACAAUUUACUGACAGAAGAAAUUAUUGUGCUGCAUGUCAUGUGAUCCAGUGAUCUUAUUCUAUCAUAAACUCAUUGUUCUAA
Halichondria panicea is the source of this 4259-nucleotide RNA transcript. RefSeq lists it as uncharacterized. The record is from RefSeq and is a predicted model, not a curated record. Lineage: Eukaryota; Metazoa; Porifera; Demospongiae; Suberitida; Halichondriidae. The transcript has 2 exons.